UGAUGUUGAGCUCUUUCAGGAUCGUAA
RNAcentral lists this small RNA (27 nucleotides) under Bombyx mori (domestic silkworm). RNAcentral's name for it is "ovarian small RNA-32960". Lineage: Eukaryota; Metazoa; Arthropoda; Insecta; Lepidoptera; Bombycidae. The record is from RNAcentral.